GUGAAAAUGUUUUAAUAAAAGGAAACUAGAAAUCAAAUAUUUGUAUAAGGACAGAUUUGAGGUUUUUCUGUACUUUUAAUGAGCUAGAAAAUGCAUACUAUAAAUAGAAUAUACAAAUGAUUUUACACAAAUGAAGCAUUAAAAAUCACAAAUCUUAUAUUUGGUUAUCCACAGUCUAUAAAAUAAUGUUCCCAAAUUAUAUAGUUUAAAAUACACAAUGUUUCAAGUUGCAAGACAAAACCAGGGUAGUUUUGGCCCUAAAUCAUAGCUAACAUAAGUAGGAAUUAUAAUUAAUUUUAUAAUUGUGUUUAAAUUUUAAAUACUCUAGAAUCUGAAAAUAUUAAAUAUUAAAUAGAUGGAGGGAUCAAAUUAUCAAGUUUUUUAACAAAAUUGAGGUAAAAAUCUGCAUUAAAUUACACCAAGAAAAACAUUUCUAAAACAUUGUUUCCAUAACUCAUUAUAAAUAUUUCAUCUUCCGAAAGUACUCUUUGAUUACCUCUGGCCUUCUGGGUCUGGUAAUUAAGUUGACUUAAUAUUUGCACAUAGCUACUGAUUACUCAAUACAGGCCUAUCAGAUAAAACUAAAAUGCUGCAACUUAAUCAGAAUGAUGCAAUCUUGUCUUAUAUAAAUAUACAAAUCACAGUAUGCUGACACUAGAUAACUUCAGCUUUAUUUGCCAAAGGGGAUUUAGAAUAUACUACAAAAUUGUAUAUAAAAUAACCCUUUACAAGGAUUUACUAGGAUGACUGCAAAGAAAGGCAAAUUAAAUAUACCUGGUCCCAUAUAAGAAUUGUUGCCUAACCUCAUAUACUAAUUUGAAUAUGAAGACUCACUUUUUAUUUCUUAUUUUUUUGAAACAGGGUCUCGCUCUGUCACCCAGGCUGGAGUGCAGUGGUGUGAUCUCAGCUCACUGCAACCUCUGCCUCUUGGGUUCAAGCGAUUCUCCUACCUCAGCCUCACAAGUAGCUGGGACUACAGGCGUGCACCACCAUGCCUGGCUAAUUUUUUGUAUUUUUAGUAGAGAAGGGGUUUCUCCAUGUUGGUCACACUGGUUUUGAACUCCUAAUCUCAGGUGAUCCACCCGCCUCGGACUCCCAAAGUGCUGGGAUUACAGGUGUGAGCCACCGCACCUGGCCUGAAUAUAAAGACUCAUUUUAAAUUAUACUAGUUGAACCUUUAUACUACAAUGUAUCCUGGCACUUAUUUUUUUUAAACCAUUAUCAGAUAUUUCAUGUUCUACUAGUAAAGGGAAUUCGCAUUUUCAAUGUCCUGUCUGCAUUCCUCCUAGCCUCUCUCUGCUCAGGUUUUGGAAAAUAGAUCUUUCAAAUGCAAUUGCAGUAUCCAAGGAAAUUCCUCCCACCCAUGCCACCAGUGCUCAUCCUGUGGGCACCCCACAGUCAGCAGUUUAAGACCAUUCUGGAUGAAUGCAAAUGCUUGAUUCAAUUUUCCCAAAUCCCAAUCAACUAGCUACAGUUUUUAUUGUAUGCAAUCUUCCCAACAUUGCAGUAAAGCAGUCUAGAUGGCUGGGGAAAGGUAAAAGAACCCCGGUUGUGAUUAUUUUUUUCUAACAAAAUGGAAUUAAAAGAUGAGAAAACCUCGUAGUAUUUUAGUCUGGUACUUUUAGCAUCCCCAACUUUUAAGAUUAUAAAUUCACAAUAGUGAACACCCUAGUGACAACUUUUAAAUAAAAUACUGGAUAGCUGCCUCAUUUUUCAGCUUUGUUGUAGUUGAGAUUCUGAUGUUCACCUAACAAAGUCCCUGACAAAACAGACUUCCUUCAAUCCAGGUCAUAAUUUGAAACGUUAUACAAUAAUGAGAUUUAAGUGAUGAAUGGAAAGAAAAGAAGGAGACUGAAAAGAUAUCAGAAAUUUCUAUUUGUUUUUAGAUUCAGAAAAAUAUAAUUACAGGCCAACAUGGGUCUGACAGAGAGGAAGGACGUCAGCAGUUAC
RNAcentral lists this long non-coding RNA (1950 nucleotides) under Homo sapiens (human). Its description in RNAcentral is "HSALNT0038225". Lineage: Eukaryota; Metazoa; Chordata; Mammalia; Primates; Hominidae. The record is from RNAcentral.